RNAcentral lists this ribosomal RNA (486 nucleotides) under uncultured bacterium. RNAcentral describes it as "partial 16S ribosomal RNA". It matches the Rfam family "Bacterial small subunit ribosomal RNA", at positions 28 to 507 of the family's 1533-position model. The record is from RNAcentral.
GAUGAACGCUGGCGGCGUGCUUAACACAUGCAAGUCGAACGAUGAAGCCCAGCUUGCUGGGUGGAUUAGUGGCGAACGGGUGAGUAACACGUGAGUAACCUGCCCUUAACUCUGGGAUAAGCCUGGGAAACUGGGUCUAAUACCGGAUAGGAGCGUCCACCGCAUGGUGGGUGUUGGAAAGAUUUAUCGGUUUUGGAUGGACUCGCGGCCUAUCAGCUUGUUGGUGAGGUAAUGGCUCACCAAGGCGACGACGGGUAGCCGGCCUGAGAGGGUGACCGGCCACACGGGGCCACGGACACGGUGAAGGCGACAACGGGAGGCAGCAGGGGGAGAGCGGGGACACGGGGCGGCAGUGGGAGGGAGCAACGUCGCGUGAGAGAAGAAGGGCGUAGGGGAGGAAACCGCAGGGAGUGGGGAAGAGGAAGAGGGAGUGAACAGCGGGGUGGAGUGACGGUAGCUGAUGAAGAAGCGACGGCUAACUACGUG